Molecule: long non-coding RNA, 651 nt
Organism: Fundulus heteroclitus (mummichog)
Lineage: Eukaryota; Metazoa; Chordata; Actinopteri; Cyprinodontiformes; Fundulidae
Exons: 6
Source: RefSeq, a predicted model, not a curated record
CCGCUACAAGGACACACCCAAAAGAAUGCUCUGAAGACGUUCUGUGCCGCGGCCUGCACCGCCACACUAACUUUGAAAACUUCGGGGUGGCCCCGCUGACGCUGUACAAAGUUAGCACUGGAGACAACUGGAGUGGCAUCCUUAAAGACACCAUGAGGGAGUGCCGGGUCGGCGACAGUAACUGUCCCAGCUACCUGUUCUGAGCCUCUCCCGUCUUCUUCACCACGUUUGUUGUCACGGUUUGUGCUUGUAAACUUGGUGGUGGCAGCAAUCAUGCAGGCGCUGGAGGACAGCACCGAGGGUUUGGCGGGCAGGUGCUUCCCAUCACUCAGAGCCUUUCUUAAGGAGCGGAAACCAGGAGGAGGGCGUCAGUUCUUUCUCAUUUCCAGCGUGAACAAUUGACUCAAGCCUGAGAACCUCCAAGCCUGGACCUCCUAGGAAUUGAAGAAACCCUUUUAGUCGCCAGUUUGCUUUAGUCCUCCUACCUGAGCUCGCCUGCCUGUCCACCCACCAACACCAUCUGCACUAGAAAGAGAACUACCGGCUUUACACCAACCUCCUGGACCCCGGACACCACCCUCCCUGGGUCAAGCCAAGCCUCAACCUCCAAUCACGAUCCAGCCCACCAGCACCGCCUCUGCUAACACUGCA